GCUCCGGUGGCCUAGUGGUUAGAGCGUCCGCCUCGGAUGUGGGUGGAUGUGGGUAGUGGAUUAGAACCCCGGCCGACCCA
Non-coding RNA from Potamilus streckersoni, 80 nucleotides. The record is from the annotation of a GenBank genome assembly. Lineage: Eukaryota; Metazoa; Mollusca; Bivalvia; Unionida; Unionidae.